Hemiscyllium ocellatum (epaulette shark) is the source of this 121-nucleotide long non-coding RNA. RefSeq lists it as uncharacterized. The record is from RefSeq and is a predicted model, not a curated record. Lineage: Eukaryota; Metazoa; Chordata; Chondrichthyes; Orectolobiformes; Hemiscylliidae. The transcript has 3 exons.
AACAGAAACAUCAACAACAUCAGUAAGUACACCGAUAGUAGAUAUUGCUUCAUGCCGAUACAACUGUGGAGGAAGUUACGGACUAUGUUCCUGCGAUUACAACUGUGCUUACUAUGGCAUG